GCUGGAGUAGCUCAGUUGGUAGAGCACGUCACUCGUAAUGACGGGGUCCGGGGUUCGACUCCCCGCUCCAGCUCCA
This 76-nucleotide transfer RNA is filed under the name Candidatus Hydrogenedentota bacterium. RNAcentral describes it as "tRNA-Thr". It matches the Rfam family "tRNA". Rfam says of the family: Transfer RNA (tRNA) molecules are approximately 80 nucleotides in length. Their secondary structure includes four short double-helical elements and three loops (D, anti-codon, and T loops). Further hydrogen bonds mediate the characteristic L-shaped molecular structure. tRNAs have two regions of fundamental functional importance: the anti-codon, which is responsible for specific mRNA codon recognition, and the 3' end, to which the tRNAs corresponding amino acid is attached (by aminoacyl-tRNA synthetases). tRNAs cope with the degeneracy of the genetic code in two manners: having more than one tRNA (with a specific anti-codon) for a particular amino acid; and 'wobble' base-pairing, i.e. permitting non-standard base-pairing at the 3rd anti-codon position. Lineage: Bacteria; Pseudomonadati; Candidatus Hydrogenedentota. The record is from RNAcentral.